Ctenopharyngodon idella (grass carp) is the source of this 3363-nucleotide long non-coding RNA. RefSeq lists it as uncharacterized. The transcript has 3 exons. NCBI's taxonomy places the organism in Eukaryota, Metazoa, Chordata, Actinopteri, Cypriniformes, Xenocyprididae. The record is from RefSeq and is a predicted model, not a curated record.
CUCACAACUGCAUUCUCAGAAAUUCCGCGCUGUGUGAAGGGAACAGGACUGGACAACUAGUGUCACGUCAUACAGUGCGAGAGAGCCGCUCUUCUAAGGUGUUUUGUGUGUGGUUUCACUUUCAGUAACUUGCAGCGACAGAGAUAUGAGCUGUGCGUCAUAUUUAGGAGUUAAAUCCAGUCACUGUUCUUCACCGGAGUGGCUCCCGUCAGUUUUGUGUUUCUUUUCGGACGUGACACGCGAGUGCAGUGGAAAAAGUGGAGUGGAUUGCAGCCCAGGAUCAUAUUGCUCCUUGACAAAAAACUAAACUGGUUUAUGGACCGGAUGAAAUUCAUUGCAUGCUCUCUCUUGCAGAUUGCCAUCAGAUACAGAUGGCAAUUCUACUGGGCCUUCCUUACUUCAUGAAGGAGAACCAGGAAGAGGUAAGGUAAAACUUUUUUUUUUUUUCUUUAAUCCUAUAUGGUUUUGCAUCCUGGGACAUGCAGAAUCUAUUUGCACUUUAUUUACAUGCAAUUCAGUCACUAUCCUGUGUGUUUAGCAUCGCAGAGAAGCUUGGUUUGUAUUAAAUGCCAACAAAUGAGAAGCUUUAGGAACUCCCUGCAGUGUUCAACCAAAAUAAGAGUUUGCUGGUUUAAUGUUUGAAUAUAUAGAAAUUUAGAUGUCAUAAUUUUCUAGAAUGAUUAAUUCUUUUCAAAUAGAGCUAUUUAAGUAUUCUGGUAAAAAAAGAAGAAAAAAAAAAGAAAAACGAGCAGGACGUCAAUAAACGUCAAUAAAUAGCUUUUAAAUAAUGUCACAUUUAACUCAGAAAAGAUAUUCUAUGUCCAAAAAUUCAUUAGUCAGCAAGAAAAAUUAACUCUAGAGAAGAACAUUCACUAUAUUGUAUAGUUAUUGUAUUUUACUUUACCUGUUCUUCAGUAUUUAACCCUCUGGUCCUCUUCGUUCAGGAGUCACACUUGGCUCCUUUAUGGUCAAAAAUGACUGAAGUCUUGAAAUGUAACUUUUUUUUUUUUUUCAGAAAAAACAAUGUAAUAUAUUUUUGUUCAAUAAUAUUUUCUGAUUACUUUUUCAAAUUUUGAGGGUAUUUUAUGAUACUAUGCAAUAUUUAUAAAAAUUUUAUUAGCUAUUUUUCCCCAUUGAAAAUAAUACACAAUUUUUUUUCUAAUAUAUUUUUAAAUUAUUUUUCAAUUCAAGCAGUAUUCCAUGUUAAAAUGGAGACAAGGCAUUUAAAAUACAAUUUUUGAAGGUAGAUUAGUGCCAUCUGGUGGGAGUAAAAAAAGAACUUAUGUAAUGCCAUGAUGUAAACUAUAUUCCUAUAUAGUUCUAUAUAAAGUGGCUUAUAAAUUCUGUAGUGAUUUUUAGACAUAAAUACUUUUUUUUUAUUAAGCUGUGGAUUUAGAUUUAUACUUGGACAUUCUCAAAGACUACUUUUUGUCAAAGUUUAGAUUUUUUUUUUUAGGGAUGCACUGGUACGAUACUGAUAUCGGUAUCGGCCCGAUACCAAGCUCAUGUACUUGUACUUGUACUCAUAAAAAUACCCCCAAUACCAAAGACCAAUACCUCAUGUGACGUAACUGACAGAAUUUUCCGUGCACAGAGACACCGACGGCAGCAGCAGAAACAAUGUCAGCCUCAGGGGUGUGGAAAUACUUCAAAAUUAAUGAUGACAACCCACACAUUGCAAACUGCAUGCUUUGUUCUGCAUUAAUAUCAAGAGUAGGGUACGAAACAAAGGCUGUGAAGAACGUCCUUAGCUUAAUUCUUAUGAACAGUCCUCCAGCAGUUAUAGUGUUGCUUACCCAUUUAACAGUACACUGUUAUAUUUCACUGUACACUUUCGGUUGUGUUUACAUUGGUUCACAGUGUUAUGUUAUAAACAUUUGUAAAUAUCGGUACUCGUACUCUGUCCUUAAAAAAUAGUAUCGGUGCAUCCCUAUUUUUUUGUUUGUUUGUUUGUUUGUUUGAAAUGUAUUUCAAGUGUCAGUUUUUGCAUUAUUUUUACUACAGUCAAACCUGAACACAGAGGAAGACAUGUUGUUCCACACAAAAUCAAAAUUCAAUAAAAAUUAAAAAAAAAAAAAAAAAUGAAUAGGUAGGCCUAUGCUUUAUCACAGCUUAAUAAUUCUGGGACUGAUCUGAUUUCAGCCUCUUAUUUGAGUUUUUGACUCAAUUUUACCAUAUUGUUACAGCCACACCAGUUCAUUUGUGUGUAUAAUAGUGUGUUGUGUGUGUUUGAGUGGGUGUGUCUUUUUUACUGCUUUAUGGCUGAAUUGUUGAUUUUAUUUCACACAUUUGUAAUAAUUUGCUCUGCAGUCACGCUAGUUCAUAUAUACGUGUGUGGGUGGGGGGUGGUUGUGUCUAUUUUGCACUUAUGACAUUUUAGAGCCAAGUGUGACUAUUUUUUUCAUGACCCUUUAACAUAUCCGAAUCAUGUCCAUGAUUUUUUUUGUGUUCACACAAGUUACUUGUAGUAACUUGACAAAUAGAUUGUAUCAAUUACAUUGUUGUGCCACUAGGUUAAAAAUUAAAAUUAAGAUAUAUUUAAUGCAUGAGUUACAGGCAUGCAAACUUGGGGCAAAAAAACACAAGUGAUUUUGCCAUUUUUGAACUGUAACUGUUGGCAUAUAAUGCAACAAAGAUUGCUAAAGUCAACAGAUUUUACUAAUAGACCUUUCCAAUCUCUGUGUAAAAAUAAAAUAUUGAUGCCAUCUUUCUAAAGUCAUUUUUAGCCCCCUGUAAGUUGGUUCCGAAUUUUAUGUGAAAAUUGUCAUUUUGACCCCCUCUACAAAAUAGUGGAUUACUCAGAAAAUAUGCAUCCAUGACUUUUAAUAUUUUGCCAUUCUUUUCCAUUUAUGUAUUUCUUUCACCAGACAAAAAAUUAUCAACAUUUUUAGCCAGGGACCUCUGGUUGUUACAGAAUGACCCAUUAUAGAUUAUAGAAGAUUUUACAUUUAAAUGCAUUUGAAAAGUCAUUGAAAGUUAAACAACAAAAAAAAAAUAAUAAUAAUAAUAAUAAAAUAAAAAAUAACAAACAUCUUUUCAACUAGAGUCCCCCCAGUGAAUCUCAGCCAUUUCCAGCCCUGCCUACAGUGCAGUAAAGCACACAUCCUGUUAUUGCAAAGAAACAAGACAACAUACAUCACAACAGAAAUUAAAGUUGUUCCUUAAUGAAAGUCUAAAUCUGUCUCCAUUAUGACAGUUUAUAACCCUUGUCUUUUACUGAUGUACUUCCACUUCCGAGCCGCUGAGCGAUGUUUGUUGUGUUGGUUCAUCCUGUUGCUCCAAAGUUCUGCUCUUACAGUCGCUACAAAUGACGACAAUCAAGACGGAAAUGCAGAUAACUGACAGUAAAGCUAAAGCUGAAAG